UGCCCUUGUUAUAACCAUAGAAUAUGUGCAACUUCAUCAGACUUUAUCAAAUGACUUGACCAUAAUGAUGAACACAAGGUAAAAGUAGCAUGCCUUUAGUUAGUCUUAGAUGGACACACCAAGAUACUUCCAUGUCAAUUUUUAAUCUCCAACUCACAUUUACUUGCUCUGAUAAACUCUGUUAUAAAAAAAACAGAACUCAUGCAAAUAAACGGGAGAACAAUACAGUGAUACACUCAAAGGUCAAAAGCUGAGUAAUCUAAUUUUGCCACUACAAAAAUCACACAAUUAUGUUGUUUUCAAUUAGUUAAUGGCAGCUUACAUUACUUGAUAGCAACCCAAUUACUCAUAUUUGAUAAUGUUGUUGUCAACAAUGAUCUGCAAACGAAAUUCUGUUUAAUAGCUCUAUUGCUUCCUUUUUCAUCCAAAUCAUGAUUCCACCCCCAAGUACUUAAUCAGUGUUUAUCUGGUGAUACUUAUUAAGUUCAAUUUAUUAAGGCAACAACUAACUUUUUCACAUUCAGGGACUAGAGUCAUUAAGUAAUUUAUCAAGCAUUUUUUGGGCAUCAAGAAAUCCAAUCCCAUACAAAAUUACUUUUCCAUUAUGAAUAAAGAAUUCAUAAUGCAUUUUCCUCAAAGGUCAUUGAGGCAUCCAUUCUUUACAAAACAUACGUAACAUUAGAGACAAGCGUCAUUAAGUUCAUAGUGCAAAAUCACUUCUAAUUGCAGUUGCAAAAUUGAAUUUAGGGACUAAGGGUCAUCAAAGCAGAAUAUAUAUCCAUUCAUGCAUUAUUAUGAAUAAAAAUUCAUAAUAUUUUUUAACAGAAAAGCAGACACCGAUAGAGACAAUUUCUUAGAGUAGCAAUUAAGGCAGCAACUAGCUUUCACAUUCAGUGACAUUUAAUCUCUUACAAAAAUUGAAGGUUCAUUUUUUUCCGAAGCAGAAGAUUGAAAGUUCGACAACCCAUCAUCGUUACCAAUAGGUAUGGAUUUAUAAACCAAAUGGUGCAAAUAUGUUGGAAUGAAGUUUUCAAUAAGCAGAAGAUUGGAAGUUAUUGGGACAGAACAUGUUUCAUCAAUUAAAGUUUUGUGUUUUCAAGAAGAAAUUGAAUGUUAUUGAAAUAUCAAGAAUUAAAAAAUUGGCAUCACAACAUGUAUCGAUCGUAAACAUGAUAUUGGCACAAAACACAUUUUUGCAUUAUUAAGGUUUUUUUUUUCCUCAAGCAGAAGAUUGAAUGUUCUUGAAUGAUCAAGAAUGAGAAGAAUGGCUAAAGUUAUACCUUUUAUCAAACAGAAGAUUGAAUGUUCUUGAUCUAGGGCUUAUACUCUCAUUUUCAUAAAAAAUGGGUAAAGUUAUACCUUUUAUCAAGCAGAAGAUUGAAUGUUCUUGAUCUAAUGCUAAUUUUAUCAUUUUCGUACAUUCUCAUUGUCCAAAAACCAUAGCUUCCAAGUCUAAUUCAGCAAGGGACAACUCUACUAAUUAAAUAAGUCAGUGGCCACCACUAUAUUGAAUAAGAUAAUGUACCUCUCCACUCUCCACUCUCCACAACCAAGCCGCUUAGUAUUUUUUUACAUUUCCUCAAAAAAUGAACAAAAGAAUAUGUACUCUAAUUUUCUGCUCACAGCAUGAUAAAGAAUAAAGCGGCGGAAAAAGCUUUAAGACAAGAUUUUGGAAAUGAUAUCGCUAUCAAAGUAUCGAUGAAGUAUAUCCGAAACAUAAGCCAAUAAUUUUCUUUUGAAAUAUAUAAAAUUUAGAGGGAACUCGGUGCAUAUUUUGUGGAAUAUGGCAGGCAUAUUGGUAUCAGAUCAGGUAUACCACCGAUGCUUUAGCAAUUUUGGAAUAUCUAGGCUCCAUAUCACAUAACUAAUAAAAUCCAGGUUCCAAUGAGACAAUUGAAGGAAAUAACGUGACACAACACUUAGGAAGAGGGUUUUGAAAUCAUAACUCACCCGUAAUGCUGUAUUCCCAGCAACUUCCAUGGCAGUAUCGCCAGCAUUCGCAAACCUAUUAACCCAACCUGUCAUGAAAUGAAAGCCGUAAGAUUACACAGUCGACGCUAAAAGUAAUGUACAAAAGCGAUAACUCAAAAAUGGAUUGCAUCAAAAACUUCAGUCACUUGACAUAUAAAUUUAAAAUGGGUACUGACACAUAUCAUUACUCUCCACAUCCAAGCAUUCAACAAUAUAAUCAAAACAUUAAAAAAAAAUGAGACAGGAAUCAUAUACCUCUUGAUCUGAAUUUUCAUUUUUUGGGUAUAGAAAGUUGCUCUAAUUUGGCAUGAAGCCACAUUAACACCAACACCUGAACCAUCAACCUUCCCCUUAUCCACCAGGAUGCUUUUAAAUUCAGUUACAGUUCUCCACUAACAGUUCCAUGAGAUUUUGGUUUCCAAAUCAACGUUGAACCUGACCACCGCUAUGUUCAGCAAUAAAAGGUUUUGCAUUUAUCAAGCAGAAGAUUGAAUCUUAUUGAAUAAUCAAAAAUAAUAAAAAUGGGUAAGGUUUUGCAUUUAUCAAGCAGAACAUUGAAUCUAACAAUCAACUGUGCACGUGUGUAUAACAUUGCACUGUUGUUGACUUGUUGUGGGAAAUUAAAGCAGCUUAAUCUGUCACAUAGUGUUCAUAUACUUUGUUUCAACUAGUACUAGUACUAGACUCUCAUUGAUAGAUAGAAUCAUACAUGACCAUCACGACACUCAAUAAUUACUCUUAAAAUUUCUUUUACAUUUGCAAAAUCACUUCAUAUUGUAGAUAAUAGCAUUUAGGAACUAGGGUCAACAACUAGCUUUCACAUUAAGGCAUCAUCCAACAUUUUUGGGCCACCCUUACAAAAAUCAUGGAACAAAGUCUAUCCAUCAACAUUUUGAAUAAAUUUCAUAUUAAAAUUACUUUGCUUUGAAAGCCACUGUCCAACUUUUCCAUUAUGAAUAAAGAAUUCAUAAUGCAUUUUCUUCAAUGGUCAUUGAAGCAUACAUCCCUUACAAAACUUAUGAAACAUUAGGGACAAGGGUCAUUAAGUUCAUAAUGCAAAAUCACUUCUAAUUGCAGUUGCAAAAUUGGAUUUAGAGACUAAGGGUCAUCAAAGCAAAAUAUAUAUGCAUUCAUGCAUUAUUAUGAACAAAAAUUCAUAAUUUUUUUAAUAGAAAGUGGACACUGAUAGAAACAAUUGCUUGAGUAGCAAUUAAGGCAACAACUAGUUUUUCACAUUCAGGGACUAGAGUCAUUAAGUAAUUUAUCCAGCAUUUUUUCGGCAUCAAGAAAGCAAUGAAAUGCAUUUAUCUCAAAGGUCAUUGAAGCAUCCAUCCCUUACAAAACAUAUGUAACAUUAGGGACAAGUGUCAUUAAGUUCAUAAUGCAAAAUCACUUCUAUUGCAGUUGCAAAAUUGAAUUUAGGGACUAAGGGUCUCGAAGCAUAAUACCAUUCAUGCAUUAUUACGAAUAAAAAUUCAUAAUAUUUUUAAUAGAAAAGCAGACACCGAUAGGGAAAAAUAGGUAUUGAUUAUAAACUAAAAGGGACAAAUAUAUUGGAAUGAAGUUUCCAAUAAGCAGAAGAUUGAUAUUUCUUGGGACAAAACAUGUUUCCUCAAUUAAAAUUUUGUGUUUUCAAGCAGAAAUUGAAUGUUCUUGAUAUUCCAAUAAGCAGAAGAUUGAAAGUUAUUGGGACAGAACAAGUUUCCUCAAUUAAAAUUUCGUGUUUUCAAGCAGAAAUUGAAUGUUCUUGAAAUAUCAAUAAUUAUAGAAUCAGUAUCAAUCGCAAACAUAAUCUUGGCACAGUACACAUUUUUGCACGAUUAAGGUUUUUUUUUUUCUCAUGCAGAAGAUUGAAUGUUCUUGAAUGAUCAAGAAUGAGAAAAAUGGGUAAAGUUAUAUAUUUUAUCAAACAGAAGAUUGAAUGUUCUUGAUUUAGGGUUUAUACCCUAAUUUUCAUCAAAAAAGAAAAAAAGGGGUUUUGAUUUGAUGAAGCAGAAGAUUGAAUGUUGUCGUUUAAUAAUCAAAAUGCAAAUAUGUGGAAGAGAUUACCGUAGCAAACAGAACACAGAUCGAGGAUGCAAAUUUCGUUAUCUUUGAGCGACCCACCGAACACCGAAGAAGAAAGAACGAG
Molecule: long non-coding RNA, 4102 nt
Filed under: Trifolium pratense (red clover)
Lineage: Eukaryota; Viridiplantae; Streptophyta; Magnoliopsida; Fabales; Fabaceae
Description: long non-coding RNA (TPRA_LNC002764)
Source: RNAcentral